AAUCCCUAAUAUUUCUGCAGAACGAGUAAAUCUUUCGCCUUUUACUAAAGAUUUCCGUGUAGAAUUAUUAUAAUAUUGGGAAUAUAGGAAUUUUUGGAAUUUUUGGAAUUUUCUUCAAAAAG
RNAcentral lists this small nuclear RNA (122 nucleotides) under Piromyces finnis. RNAcentral's name for it is "U5 spliceosomal RNA". It matches the Rfam family "U5 spliceosomal RNA". Rfam says of the family: U5 RNA is a component of both types of known spliceosome. The precise function of this molecule is unknown, though it is known that the 5' loop is required for splice site selection and p220 binding, and that both the 3' stem-loop and the Sm site are important for Sm protein binding and cap methylation. The record is from Rfam by way of RNAcentral. Lineage: Eukaryota; Fungi; Neocallimastigomycota; Neocallimastigomycetes; Neocallimastigales; Neocallimastigaceae.